This 468-nucleotide ribosomal RNA is filed under the name uncultured bacterium. RNAcentral describes it as "partial 16S ribosomal RNA". It matches the Rfam family "Bacterial small subunit ribosomal RNA", at positions 28 to 507 of the family's 1533-position model. The record is from RNAcentral.
GACGAACGCUGGCGGCGUGCUUAACACAUGCAAGUCGAACGGAGAGGCCCUGCUUUUGUGGGGUGCUCGAGUGGCGAACGGGUGAGUAACACGUGAGUAACCUGCCCUUGACUUUGGGAUAACUUCAGGAAACUGGGGCUAAUACCGGAUAGGAUCUCCUGCUGCAUGGUGGGGGUUGGAAAGUUUCGGCGGUUGGGGAUGGACUCGCGGCUUAUCAGCUUGUUGGUGGGGUAGUUGCUUACCAAGGCUUUGACGGGUAGCCGGCCUGAGAGGGUGACCGGCCACAUUGGGACUGAGAUACGGCGCAGACGCCUACGGGCGGCAGCAGUGGGGAAUAUUGCACAAUGGGCGGAAGCCUGAUGCAGAAACGUCGCGUGCGUGAUGACGGCCUUCGGGUUGUGAACCGCUUUCGCCUGUGACGAAGCGUGAGUGACGGUAAUGGGUAAAGAAGCACCGGCUAACUACGUG